RNAcentral lists this ribosomal RNA (393 nucleotides) under uncultured bacterium. RNAcentral's name for it is "partial 16S ribosomal RNA". It matches the Rfam family "Bacterial small subunit ribosomal RNA", at positions 523 to 918 of the family's 1533-position model. The record is from RNAcentral.
AUACGGAGGAUCCGAGCGUUAUCCGGAUUUAUUGGGUUUAAAGGGAGCGCAGGCGGAGAUGCAAGCGUGACGUCAAAUUUCGGGGCUCAACCCCGUCUCGCGUCGCGAACUGCGUCCCUUGGUUGCGGGAAGGGGAGGCGGAACUCGUGGUGUAGCGGUGAAAUGCAUAGAUAUCACGAAGAACUCCGAUCGCGAAGGCAGCCUUCCGGCCCGUCAACGACGCUCAUGCUCGAAGGUGCGGGUAUCAAACAGGAUUAGAUACCCUGGUAGUCCGCACAGUAAACGAUGGACACCCGCGGUUUGGCCUAUAUGGCUGAGCCGCCAAGCGAAAGCGUUAAGUGUCCCACCUGGGGAGUACGCCGGCAACGGUGAAACUCAAAGGAAUUGACGGGG